RNAcentral lists this ribosomal RNA (507 nucleotides) under uncultured bacterium. RNAcentral describes it as "bacterial SSU rRNA". It matches the Rfam family "Bacterial small subunit ribosomal RNA", at positions 15 to 518 of the family's 1533-position model. The record is from RNAcentral.
GAUCAUGGCUCAGGAUGAACGCUAGCGGCAGGCCUAAUACAUGCAAGUCGAACGGUAAAGUCCCCUUCGGGGACUGAGAGUGGCGGACGGGUGCGUAACGCGUAUGCAACCAACCCCCCUCACCGGGAUAGCCGGUGGAAACGCCGGAUAAGACCGGAUGCGCCGGCGGGGAGGCAUCUCCCUGUCGGCAAGGCGGCGACGCGGAGGGGACGGGCAUGCGUGCCAUUAGCUUGUUGGCGGGGCGACGGCCCACCAAGGCGACGAUGGCUAGGGGAUCUGAGAGGACGGUCCCCCACACUGGUACUGAGACACGGACCAGACUCCUGCGGGAGGCAGCAGUAAGGGAUAUUGGUCAAUGGGGGUAACCCUGAACCAGCCAUGCCGCCGUGAGGGAAUGAGGCCCUACGGGUCGUGAACCUCUUUUAUCUGGGGACAAUACGGGGCACGCGAUGCCCCGUUGAGGGUACCAGAAGAAUAAGCAUCGGCUAACUCCGUGCCAGCCGCUGC